UAAGCAUAUUCCAGUGGAAUAUUUGCUUUGAGUUUCCUUAGUUUCCCAGCAAGAGGAGGUAUAUUAUUGGGCAUUACUCAGAUUCUCUGCGUAAUUAUUGUCUCCCUCCCCUUUCUUGUGCAUGCGAGUUGCUUGCUUUUUCCGAUGACAGUCCCAGAAACCAAACCAAGCCAGGCACAGGGUGAAAAUAAUGAUGGAAUUUCCCGCGCCAGGAUAGCUUGCAAUUCCAUUUUGACAUCCCAGUCUAAAACUUGUUAGACUUGCCCCAAUACUAGCCUUCCAGGUAUGCUUCCACCAUAUUUCUUUUUGUUAUUAGGCGAAAUUGUGUGGGUUGGUUGUAUAAAUCCAAGUCUAUUUAUCUUUUAAUAAAGUUUUACAAGAAAUAACAUGAAUAAAAAUUAAUAAUAUUAUUAACGGUUUCUUACCAAGAUAAAAUGUUUGUGUUAUAAAUAUUUGCCUUUUCGGUUGGAGCUCAGUAUCCCAAAUGGCCAAAUCUCACUGUACAAAAAAAGUGUAUGAAAAGAAUUUCCAGAGUUAGAUUAUCACGAAAUAUGUAUCAUUAGUGUACAAAAAAAAAGUGGAAUUGCCGAUCCUCGCCUCCGUCUCUCCCGCUUAAUUGGCUAUACAGAGCACCUGGAUUCUUGUCAAUCAAGGGAAGUUAAUAUAGUGUCACUGUCAUGCCUCAAAUAGCACAAAAUCAAGGUUUCUCUCUUGUGCUUUCUGCUUGUUUCAGAGAAACCCCAGUUUCCACCUUAGUUAACAGAGUAAACAUUGCCGCAUGCAUGAGCUCAGCUUGCUGUGAUCUGGUCUCUCACUUUGAGGGUUUACCAAUAUAUAUAUAUAUAUAUAUAUAUUA
Molecule: non-coding RNA, 856 nt
Organism: Cajanus cajan (pigeon pea)
Lineage: Eukaryota; Viridiplantae; Streptophyta; Magnoliopsida; Fabales; Fabaceae
Source: RefSeq, a predicted model, not a curated record